This 460-nucleotide ribosomal RNA is filed under the name uncultured bacterium. Its description in RNAcentral is "partial 16S ribosomal RNA". It matches the Rfam family "Bacterial small subunit ribosomal RNA", at positions 338 to 795 of the family's 1533-position model. The record is from RNAcentral.
CCUACGGGAGGCAGCAGUGAGGAAUAUUGGUCAAUGGCCGUAAGGCUGAACCAGCCAAGUAGCGUGAGGGAAGACUGCCCUAUGGGUUGUAAACCUCUUUUAUGCGGGGAUAAAGUUGUCCACGUGUGGCUGUUUGCAGGUACCGCAUGAAUAAGGACCGGCUAAUUCCGUGCCAGCAGCCGCGGUAAUACGGAAGGUCCGGGCGUUAUCCGGAUUUAUUGGGUUUAAAGGGAGCGUAGGCCGGUCUUUAAGCGUGCCGUGAAAUUUUGUGGCUCAACCAUGAGAGUGCGGCGCGAACUGGAGACCUUGAGUGCGCGGAAGGCAGGCGGAAUUCGUGGUGUAGCGGUGAAAUGCUUAGAUAUCACGAAGAACCCCGAUUGCGAAGGCAGCCUGCCGCAGCGUGACUGACGCUGAAGCUCGAAAGCGCGGGUAUCGAACAGGAUUAGAUACCCCAGUAGUC